Molecule: ribosomal RNA, 363 nt
Filed under: Triticum aestivum (bread wheat)
Lineage: Eukaryota; Viridiplantae; Streptophyta; Magnoliopsida; Poales; Poaceae
Description: partial small subunit ribosomal RNA
Source: RNAcentral
AUGGCGAUUCGUGAGGGAACGCAGCUGAUGGCCACUCCUGCGUACAGUUCAUCAUCUUGUUCUGAACUUCUGACGGUGGUCAUGAAGAACAGUGCGGCUUUGGGGUUCCUUGAUUUUUCUUUUUUCUUUUUAUUAAAAAUGCCGCACAUUAAUCUUGGUCUUGCGUGGGCUUGGGAAUAUAAGUGGGUACAUACAAACAACUAUGAUCUUGCUCCAGGACAAAUUGUUCUAGUAUCUGUUCUCGUUUGUUCAGAAAACAACACUUCUCGUUUAAUGCUGUUCCCUUUCACUUUGUUCAGCAAACAAUUGUUUCAUUUGUCGCUGCAGGGCCGGAAGGGGAAACUGAUCAACUUGGCGGUGUAA